UACAGAGGGUGCAAGCGUUAAUCGGAAUUACUGGGCGUAAAGCGCAUGUAGGUGGAUAGAUAAGUUUGAUGUGAAAGCCCUAGGCUUAACCUGGGAAUGGCGUUGAAGACUGUUUAUCUGGAGUUUGACAGAGGGUCGUGGAAUUUCCGGUGUAGCGGUGAAAUGCGUAGAGAUCGGAAAGAACACCAGUGGCGAAGGCGGCGACCUGGGUCUAAACUGACACUGAGGUGCGAAAGCGUGGGGAGCAAACAGG
This 253-nucleotide ribosomal RNA is filed under the name uncultured bacterium. Its description in RNAcentral is "partial 16S ribosomal RNA". It matches the Rfam family "Bacterial small subunit ribosomal RNA", at positions 524 to 776 of the family's 1533-position model. The record is from RNAcentral.